CUUCUCUUUCCUCAAAUGCUUCACACAACUACACAUACAGUCUAUAGCUUUGGCUUUCCUGACAUUGUAGACAAUAUUGAUAGCUAGGUCAAAUCAAUCACUUGCGGAACAUCGUUAAGGUAAGGUACAUUUCUAAUUUGAAGCUCUGGAAAGUUUUGUGUCGAAGUGGCUACAUUUGGAUCGAAGGGUUCGCAGUCAGGAAGUGUUAAACCUUGCUUUAUUCGACCGGCGCGCCGAGAAUGCAAUACUUGAG
Molecule: unclassified non-coding RNA, 253 nt
Filed under: Hevea brasiliensis (rubber tree)
Lineage: Eukaryota; Viridiplantae; Streptophyta; Magnoliopsida; Malpighiales; Euphorbiaceae
Source: RNAcentral